This 29-nucleotide non-coding RNA is filed under the name Rattus norvegicus (Norway rat). The record is from RNAcentral. Lineage: Eukaryota; Metazoa; Chordata; Mammalia; Rodentia; Muridae.
CCCAAGGUUAGUGUGCCUUCUCCCACACU